Long non-coding RNA from Marmota flaviventris (yellow-bellied marmot), 566 nucleotides. RefSeq lists it as uncharacterized. Lineage: Eukaryota; Metazoa; Chordata; Mammalia; Rodentia; Sciuridae. The record is from RefSeq and is a predicted model, not a curated record.
GCAAAGACGACAAUGCCAACUGAAGAAACAGAGAAUGUCUCCCACUGAGGGUGAUGGCAAAGGAAGAAAAGCAAAAGUGAAGAGGAGAGGGCAGAGAGGCACGAUGGAGCAGGAAAAGAGGAGUGGGGUCAGAAGGAGAGGAAAACAGCAAGCACCUGAAACAUUACAACUGGGGAUAACUACCUAUUCCAAAAGAACUAAAUGAUUCCCUGGACUCCCUUCAAGUGUUAAUUUACCUAACAUAAGUGUCCCACAGAUGAGUAAAUGGAUAUUGAUUCAAUUUAAGUAAUCUACAUACCUUGGUCUCCUUUAGAGCAGAUUCAAUUCCACUUUUGUGCUGGUGCAUUUGGUCAACAUGGAUUCUCCAGUCCUAUUGACACAAAGCAUAUAGAAACAAAGUAUAAAAAACUACUUUUCAUUCUUUAUUUAUUAUGAUGUUGUGUCCUUUAUCUUUAUUACUUUGACUACUGCCCUAUUUCAGGUGGGAAAGUCUUAUAUAUAGAUUGCAAUUAGGCUGUAAAGAAAUAUGUGUAGAGAGUACUUCAGGAAUAAAAGUUCUAAAUAAA